This 654-nucleotide unclassified non-coding RNA is filed under the name Helichrysum asperum. Its description in RNAcentral is "partial external transcribed spacer". Lineage: Eukaryota; Viridiplantae; Streptophyta; Magnoliopsida; Asterales; Asteraceae. The record is from RNAcentral. RNAcentral also lists the same sequence under 1 other name.
GUUGUUGUUGUUGAUGACAUUCGUCCCAAGGUGACGUGGUGUCAUGUUGCUUGUGUAUUCUAGUUUUAAGCUUUUCGAGCUUGAAACGUGUGGAUAAUCGGUGGUGACAUACAUCACUCCUUUGGUUGAUGAAGGUCGUCCAACGAUGUGGUGGUUUGUUUAUUUUGUUCUCGCAUCGUUCGGUGCAUUCUGUGGUCAUUUUGGCUAUUAGUGGCUUGCUUGGCAAUUGGGCUUUGUGGGUUGCUACUAGUUUGGGUGUCUUCGGGGAUGUCAACCGUAAAGGUGCAUGAGUGGUGUUUGGUUUGUUACGGGUGGUUGGCUCUUUGCUUGCGCAACAACUUCCACCUGGCAUACCUCUUCAGUCUUGUGUCAAUGUUUGUUUUGCAUUGAAUGCACGACGGGUUUCUUGUGUUGCAUGCCUAAUUAAUGGUAUCGUUUGAUGAAUUGGUUUCCCUUUUCGUCUUGCGUCGCCUAUGCGAUGUGAGAUGAACCUUGAAGCAGCCUUUGUGAUCCACACUUUUGAUGCAUACGCAUUGAUUUUGUGGCCCAUUAAGUGUUGCUCGGUCUCAUGGAUAUGGAACCUGGUGUGGGCAUGGAAUCGUAAUGGUUCCUUGUUUGCCCAAGUUUAGCUUUUUUAAAACGAUUUGUCUAUCA